Molecule: ribosomal RNA, 850 nt
Filed under: Hypoxylon fendleri
Lineage: Eukaryota; Fungi; Ascomycota; Sordariomycetes; Xylariales; Hypoxylaceae
Description: partial large subunit ribosomal RNA
Rfam family: Eukaryotic large subunit ribosomal RNA
Source: RNAcentral
GGCAGGUCUAGGCCAGCAUCGGUUCUCUUAGGGGGAUAAAGGCCUUGGGAACGUAGCUCUUUAGGGAGUGUUAUAGCCCCUGGCGUAAUACCCUUCGGGGGACCGAGGAUCGCGCUCUGCAAGGAUGCUGGCGUAAUGGUCGUCAACGACCCGUCUUGAAACACGGACCAAGGAGUCGAACAUUUGUGCGAGUGUUUGGGUGUCAAACCCUCACGCGUAAUGAAAGUGAACGGAGGUGAGAGCCUUAGGGCGCAUCAUCGACCGAUCCUGAUGUCUUCGGAUGGAUUUGAGUAAGAGCAUAACUGUUCGGACCCGAAAGAUGGUGAACUAUGCGUGGAUAGGGUGAAGCCAGAGGAAACUCUGGUGGAGGCUCGCAGCGGUUCUGACGUGCAAAUCGAUCGUCAAAUCUGCGCAUGGGGGCGAAAGACUUAUCGAACCAUCUAGUAGCUGGUUACCGCCGAAGUUUCCCUCAGGAUAGCAGUGUUGUCUUCAGUUUUAUGAGGUAAAGCGAAUGAUUAGGGACUCGGGGGCGCUAUAUUGCCUUCAUCCAUUCUCAAACUUUAAAUAUGUAAGAAGCCCUUGUUACUUAGUUGAACGUGGGCAUUCGAAUGUACCAACACUAGUGGGCCAUUUUUGGUAAGCAGAACUGGCGAUGCGGGAUGAACCGAACGCGGGGUUAAGGUGCCAGAGUGGACGCUCAUCAGACACCACAAAAGGUGUUAGUACAUCUUGACAGCAGGACGGUGGCCAUGGAAGUCGGAAUCCGCUAAGGACUGUGUAACAACUCACCUGCCGAAUGUACUAGCCCUGAAAAUGGAUGGCGCUCAAGCGUCUCACCCAUACCUCGCCC